RNAcentral lists this ribosomal RNA (235 nucleotides) under uncultured bacterium. RNAcentral describes it as "partial 16S ribosomal RNA". It matches the Rfam family "Bacterial small subunit ribosomal RNA", at positions 542 to 776 of the family's 1533-position model. The record is from RNAcentral.
UGUUCGGAUUCAUUGGGCGUAAAGGGUGCGUAGGCGGCGCGGUAAGUCGGGGGUGAAAUCUCGGAGCUUAACUCCGAAACUGCAUUCGAUACUGCCGUGCUUGAGGACUGGAGAGGAGACUGGAAUUUACGGUGUAGCGGUGAAAUGCGUAGAUAUCGUAAGGAAGACCAGUGGCGAAGGCGGGUCUCUGGACAGUUCCUGACGCUGAGGCACGAAGGUCAGGGGAGCAAGCGGG